Rosa rugosa (rugosa rose) is the source of this 1704-nucleotide long non-coding RNA. RefSeq lists it as uncharacterized. NCBI's taxonomy places the organism in Eukaryota, Viridiplantae, Streptophyta, Magnoliopsida, Rosales, Rosaceae. The transcript has 4 exons. The record is from RefSeq and is a predicted model, not a curated record.
UCCCAGCUCGAGAGAUCGCUCUGUGCUCCGACAUCUUCAAAGCGUACCAUUUUUUUUCUCUGUCACCGCCUCUCUCUCUCUCUCUCUCUCUCACUCUCUCUCUCUCAAACUCAGCAGAAAAUUGAGCCGAAAGUGGUGAAUUGAUUCAGCGAAUCAAACUACUAACAAGUAGUCACAGAUCCAAACAAGAGCUGCGGCCCUGUUUCUAUAUUUGGUCGAUUUGUGGUAUUUUGGGUACUAAUUUCCGCAGGCAGAGACGGGGUAAGUAAGAAUCACUCUUUCAAUUCAAUUCCAGUCCCUCCACAUUUUCGUAGUUUGAUUUCGUUUCUUUGAUUAUGAUGCUACCUGGGAAUUUUUUUUUUUUUUGCUACUGGUUCGUUUAUAUGUAUAUAUUUCAACCUUUGUACACUAGUGUCAAAUUGAUGCAUUCUGGUCCCUACCAAGGUGAGAAUCUUUGUGAAUUGGACCGUAUGUCCAGCAACCCUACCAAGGUGAAAAGGAUAGAGGGAAGGAAAUAUGUGUAAUCAUUAAAUCAAUUUGCCUGAAACUUUGGUUUUUUAGAUUGGGGCACAGAUUUAUCAUGCAGUCAAAGAUAUGGCUACUUGAGAUGUUCACAUUGGUUUUAUUAAUUUGUAAUGUGUUAUAAUGCUAGCUGCUACUGCUAAUUUCUCUGUAAAACUAUGACCCAUAUAUAUUAAGCCACUCACUAGAGCUUGUCCUGAUUUUUGAAUUGAAAGCAUGAUAUGAUAAUUAAUGACCAUCCUAUUAUGUGUGCUGCAUUAUUCAUUCUUUCCCAUAGAAUAUGGGAAAUCAUUAGUGAAGAUCACAAAAUCCAUGUAAGUAAACACAACACUAUGCAUGGAUCGAGUUGUUAAGGCAUGCAAUGGCACCACUCAUCAGUUCCCUACACAUUUUAUACACAAUGGGAACAGGGAAUGUGUAGUUUGUUUUGUUGUUGAUUUGUUUAUGCUUGUACUUUUUCCUAAAGAGAACAUGUUCAACAAGUCCUGCAUCCCCAGAUAUCAAUAUAGAGGAGGAAGGGACCCAACUAGACUCCCACCGUGCCCUAUCAGGGACUGAUGGCAGUACCCAAAUUUGGGAUUAACCAUAUAGGAUGGUCAUUAAUUAUCAAAGCAUGCUUGAUGGACUGGAUUAACCAUAUAGCUAAUGAUAAAAGUACCUCAUUUGUUUUUGCAAAUGUUAUAGCUACUGCUGGACAUGGAGGCCUAAAAUUUUGGGACCUACGUGAUCCAUUCCGUCCCUUGUGGGACAUCGAUCAUAUACCAAGGUUCAUAUAUAGUCUGGAUUGGAUUCCAGAUCCAAGGUGUGUUCUUCUCUCCUUUGAUGAUGGAACAAUGAGACUUCUCAGCUUGACAAAGGCUGCCUCUGAUGCCCUGUAACAGGAAAACCCUUUGCUGGAACAAAACAACAGGGCCUGCACAAUCUUGGUUGUCUGCCUUUUGCUAUCUGGAAUGUUCAAGUAUCAAGACUAAAAACAACUUGCCUGAAACUCUUGUUUUCUUUGCUAGUACUUGUAUUCAUUGAAAUUGAAAUUGAGUGAACUUGGGUAUCAUAAUACCUGUAAGCAGUCCAAUUUACUUGAUUUGUUGAUGCAGCUCAAUAAUGUCUUCAAUUUUGCUUAUACUCAGUAUAUAAAGUUUCUAUUAAUAGAGACUUGAAAUGAUGUCCAGUAAACUUGAGUUA